CCUACGGGUGGCAGCAGUAGGGAAUAUUGCUCAAUGGGGGAAACCCUGAAGCAGCAACGCCGCGUGGAGGAUGAAGGUUUUAGGAUUGUAAACUCCUUUUGUUAGAGAAGAUUAUGACGGUAUCUAACGAAUAAGCACCGCCUAACUCCGUGCCAGCAGCCGCGGUAAUACGGAGGGUGCAAGCGUUACUCGGAAUCACUGGGCGUAAAGAGUGCGUAGGCGGGGUAAGAAGUCAGAUGUGAAAGCCGGUAGCUUAACUACAGAACUGCAUUUGAAACUGUUACUCUGGAGUGUGGGAGAGGUAAGCGGAAUUCUUGGUGUAGGGGUGAAAUGCGUAGAGAUCAAGAGGAAUACUCGUGGCGAAGGCGAGCUGCUGGAACAUUACUGACGCUGAGGCACGAAAGCGUGGGGAGCAAACAGGAUUAGAUACCCCAGUAGUC
Molecule: ribosomal RNA, 440 nt
Filed under: uncultured bacterium
Lineage: Bacteria
Description: partial 16S ribosomal RNA
Rfam family: Bacterial small subunit ribosomal RNA
Source: RNAcentral